AUUGAACGCUGGCGGAAUGCUUUACACAUGCAAGUCGAACGGUAGAGGGGGCAACCCCUUGAGAGUGGCGAACGGGUGAGUAAUAUAUCGGAACGUGCCCAGUCGUGGGGAUAACGUAGCGAAAGUUACGCUAAUACCGCAUACGAUCUAAGGAUGAAAGCGGGGGAUCGCAAGACCUCGCGCGAUUGGAGCGGCCGAUAUCAGAUUAGGUAGUUGGUGAGGUAAAGGCUCACCAAGCCGACGAUCUGUAGCUGGUCUGAGAGGACGACCAGCCACACUGGGACUGAGACACGGCCCAGACUCCUACGGGAGGCAGCAGUGGGGAAUUUUGGACAAUGGGCGCAAGCCUGAUCCAGCAAUGCCGCGUGCAGGAUGAAGGCCUUCGGGUUGGUAACUAGCUUUGUUACGGUAACGGAAACGGUAGAGCUCUAAUACAGUUGUCUAAUGACGGUACCGUAACGAAUAAGACACCGGCGUAACUACGUAGCCAGCAGCCGCGGUAAG
Molecule: ribosomal RNA, 504 nt
Filed under: uncultured bacterium
Lineage: Bacteria
Description: bacterial SSU rRNA
Rfam family: Bacterial small subunit ribosomal RNA
Source: RNAcentral